Molecule: ribosomal RNA, 472 nt
Filed under: uncultured bacterium
Lineage: Bacteria
Description: bacterial SSU rRNA
Rfam family: Bacterial small subunit ribosomal RNA
Source: RNAcentral
ACUCCUACGGGAGGCAGCAGUAGGGAAUCUUCCACAAUGGACGCAAGUCUGAUGGAGCAACGCCGCGUGAGUGAAGAAGGGUUUCGGCUCGUAAAGCUCUGUUGUUAAAGAAGAACGUGGGUGAAAGUAACUGUUCACCCAGUGACGGUAUUUAACCAGAAAGCCACGGCUAACUACGUGCCAGCAGCCGCGGUAAUACGUAGGUGGCAAGCGUUAUCCGGAUUUAUUGGGCGUAAAGCGAGCGCAGGCGGUCUUUAAGUCUAAUGUGAAAGCCUUCGGCUCAACCGAAGAAGUGCAUUGGAAACUGGGAGACUUGAGUGCAGAAGAGGACAGUGGAACUCCAUGUGUAGCGGUGAAAUGCGUAGAUAUAUGGAAGAACACCAGUGGCGAAGGCGGCUGUCUGGUCUGUAACUGACGCUGAGGCUCGAAAGCAUGGGUAGCGAACAGGAUUAGAUACCCUGGUAGGAUAGCG